UUUCCAGUUCCCUAAAUGAUCCAUUCAAGGACUCUCUUUUCCUGCUUUAAUUAGUUUUCACCUGGCAGCUGCUGUCCAUACUGCUCAGCCUUCAGUUUACCUCUCUACUGGCGCAUGAGUUAGUUCAUAAUCUAAAACCCAUCAGAAGCCACAAGGAAAACAACUUGGGAAGGAGCGCUGAGGUGGAUCCUUCUGUAGAGCAGAUCAUCUUUUCUCUCAUUGAUCCCAGCCUGCUAAGAGGAACCUUGGGGGCAGCCAGUCACACUGCAAUGUGGACAGGCGGAGGUCUGGCGGGCUUGCUCAUCUGCUUGGACUGCCUAGGCAUUUUGCUGGUGACCACAUGGUGAACAGAAUUGUCACACCCCUGCAAAACUAACAGAUUAAUGAGGA
Molecule: long non-coding RNA, 390 nt
Organism: Manis javanica (Malayan pangolin)
Lineage: Eukaryota; Metazoa; Chordata; Mammalia; Pholidota; Manidae
Source: RefSeq, a predicted model, not a curated record